UGAUAUGUGGGAGCAAAACUAUGAGG
RNAcentral lists this non-coding RNA (26 nucleotides) under Homo sapiens (human). The record is from RNAcentral. Lineage: Eukaryota; Metazoa; Chordata; Mammalia; Primates; Hominidae.